ACAAAGAUUUUUCGUUUUUUUUUAUUCUGGGAUCAUAAGGAUUUGAAGGAUAUAUAUUAGGAUCCAAUAGAUGGCAGUAAUGCAACAACUAUGGAUGCAAGCUGUCGUUAAAUCCUAAAGAAGAAGAAAAAGAAGAAGAAGAAGAAGAAGAAGAAGAAGACGACUUUACUGUGUUUGGAUUUUACUGGUAUGCUGGACAACGUCUCGCAUUCAACUCCUCUAGGACGCGAUCCACAACUUUCAGCCAGUCCGCAGACUGACGAGAAGAAACUGCUGAUUGCUAUCAGUGGACUGUCUCGUCAGCUUACUCAACAUACUGCCGACAUGAAUGAGAGGUUCACUCAACUGCAGAAUUCGGUAAACUCCAGGUUGCUGUCCAUAGAGGACAAGAUGGCGGCUCUGCAGUCGAAGAACUGUGCUGGAGAGACUAACUCCAUCAAGAGAAGACGGAUGCACAAAAGCUUGCGUACGCCGUCUUCACAACUCGGAGACAAAUUGCAGGCGCUAUGAACCGGCGCAAGGACUAAGCACGCCUCAUAAUGAGGCAGUUACCUCCUAUCUGCUCGGAGCAAUAACUGCAAGCCUCGAUUUACACUAUAUUGAUAAAGACGACAUUGUGUCCGCCUGUAAGACGUAUUACGAGACGGUACGCA
Fundulus heteroclitus (mummichog) is the source of this 653-nucleotide long non-coding RNA. RefSeq lists it as uncharacterized. The transcript has 4 exons. The record is from RefSeq and is a predicted model, not a curated record. NCBI's taxonomy places the organism in Eukaryota, Metazoa, Chordata, Actinopteri, Cyprinodontiformes, Fundulidae.